Molecule: ribosomal RNA, 848 nt
Filed under: Colletotrichum godetiae
Lineage: Eukaryota; Fungi; Ascomycota; Sordariomycetes; Glomerellales; Glomerellaceae
Description: LSU rRNA
Rfam family: Eukaryotic large subunit ribosomal RNA
Source: RNAcentral
UAGCGGAGGAAAAGAAACCAACAGGGAUUGCCCCAGUAACGGCGAGUGAAGCGGCAACAGCUCAAAUUUGAAAUCUGGCCCCAGGCCCGAGUUGUAAUUUGCAGAGGAUGCUUUUGGCGCGGUGCCUUCCGAGUUCCCUGGAACGGGACGCCAUAGAGGGUGAGAGCCCCGUACGGUUGGACACCAAGCCUUUGUAAAGCUCCUUCGACGAGUCGAGUAGUUUGGGAAUGCUGCUCUAAAUGGGAGGUACAUUUCUUCUAAAGCUAAAUAUUGGCCAGAGACCGAUAGCGCACAAGUAGAGUGAUCGAAAGAUGAAAAGCACUUUGAAAAGAGGGUUAAACAGCACGUGAAAUUGUUAAAAGGGAAGCGCUUGUGACCAGACUUGCGUCCGGUGAAUCACCCAGCUCUCGCGGCUGGGGCACUUCGCCGGCACAGGCCAGCAUCAGCUUGCCGUCGGGGACAAAAGCUUCAGGAACGUGGCUCCUCUCGGGGAGUGUUAUAGCCUGUUGCAUAAUACCCUUCGGCGGGCUGAGGUACGCGCUCCGCAAGGAUGCUGGCGUAAUGGUCAUCAGCGACCCGUCUUGAAACACGGACCAAGGAGUCAACCUUAUGUGCGAGUGUUUGGGUGUCAAACCCCUACGCGUAAUGAAAGUGAACGCAGGUGAGAGCUUCGGCGCAUCAUCGACCGAUCCUGAUGUUCUCGGAUGGAUUUGAGUAAGAGCAUAUAGGGUUGGACCCGAAAGAAGGUGAACUAUGCGUGUGUAGGGUGAAGCCAGAGGAAACUCUGGUGGAGGCUCGCAGCGGUUCUGACGUGCAAAUCGAUCGUCAAACAUGCGCAUGGGGGCGAA